RNAcentral lists this ribosomal RNA (414 nucleotides) under uncultured prokaryote. RNAcentral's name for it is "bacterial SSU rRNA". It matches the Rfam family "Bacterial small subunit ribosomal RNA", at positions 62 to 492 of the family's 1533-position model. The record is from RNAcentral.
UCGAACGGUAACAGGAGAGAGCUUGCUCUCUUGCUGACGAGUGGCGCACGGGUGAGUAAUAUAUAGAUAAUGUGCCUCUUAGUUGGAUAGCCAUUGGAAACGAUGAUUAAUACCGGAUACUCCUUUUUAUCAAAAGAUAAGUUGGGAAAGUUUUUCGCUAAGAGAUCGGUCUAUAUCCCAUCAGUUAGUUGGUAGUGUAAGAGACUACCAAGACGAUGACGGGUAGCGGGUUUGAGAGGAUGAUCCGCCACACUGGUACUGAGACACGGACCAGACUCCUACGGGAGGCAGCAGUGAGGAAUAUUGCACAAUGGAGGAAACUCUGAUGCAGCAACGCCGCGUGGAGGAUGACGCAUUUCGGUGUGUAAACUCCUUUUAUAGGUCAAGAAAAUGACGGUAGCCUAUGAAUAAGCA